This is a long non-coding RNA of Esox lucius (northern pike), 491 nucleotides long. RefSeq lists it as uncharacterized. The record is from RefSeq and is a predicted model, not a curated record. The transcript is spliced from 3 exons. Lineage: Eukaryota; Metazoa; Chordata; Actinopteri; Esociformes; Esocidae.
UCCGUUGAUCUGAAAUGCUUUUCUGUAUAGUCAGAUUUCGGCUCUAGGUGCUGUAGGAGGACAGAACUCCAAAAGAGUAACUUGGAAUAUACUUUCAAGGAUUUUCUCAAACACAGUGGCCAAACAGAUUAAUUGGAAAGGAGUAAACGGGAAAAGAGGUUUUAAAGAAAUGCUGACACAAACUCUGUUGAUCAAGGCUGUACGGAAGAACCAAGCUGCUAGCAGUGCAUCGGACAACGAGAUUAACCAGCACGCCAUCCGCUGGUUCAACCUGGCCUCUGACCGUGGAGGUGGCCGCAAAGAACGUGCCAUGGCCAGAGAGGCCAUUCAUUAACCGUGAAAUGAACGCAUCGGCCAUCCCCCAAUCUUCCACCACUGAUGAUUUGUUGAGUGUUAUGUGAGAGUUGUGGCAUUCCCACUUCACUUGCCUCAUCAAUGUUUCCUGUAAAGCCACCAAAGAACGCGUAUGAACAUUUUGCAGUCUUUUCUGG